GAUGAACGCUGGCGGCGUGCCUAAUACAUGCAAGUCGAGCGAACAGACGAGGAGCUUGCUCCUCUGACGUUAGCGGCGGACGGGUGAGUAACACGUGGAUAACCUACCUAUAAGACUGGGAUAACUUCGGGAAACCGGAGCUAAGACCGGAUAAUAUAUUGAACCGCAUGGUUCAAUAGUGAAAGACGGUUUUGCUGUCACUUAUAGAUGGAUCCGCGCCGCAUUAGCUAGUUGGUAAGGUAACGGCUUACCACGGCGACGAUGCGUAGCCGACCUGAGAGGGUGAUCGGCCACACUGGAACUGAGACACGGUCCAGACUCCUACGGGAGGCAGCAGUAGGGAAUCUUCCGCAAUGGGCGAAAGCCUGACGGAGCAACGCCGCGUGGGUGAUGAAGGUCUUCGGAUCGUAAAGCUCUGUUAUUAGGGAAGAACAAAUGUGUAAGUAACUAUGCACGUCUUGACGGUACCUAAUCAGAAAGCCACGGCUAACUACGUG
RNAcentral lists this ribosomal RNA (497 nucleotides) under uncultured bacterium. Its description in RNAcentral is "partial 16S ribosomal RNA". It matches the Rfam family "Bacterial small subunit ribosomal RNA", at positions 28 to 507 of the family's 1533-position model. The record is from RNAcentral.